This is a non-coding RNA of Chlorocebus sabaeus (green monkey), 632 nucleotides long. The record is from RefSeq and is a predicted model, not a curated record. Lineage: Eukaryota; Metazoa; Chordata; Mammalia; Primates; Cercopithecidae.
AGGAGAGGAGCCCAGCCCUGGGAUUCCCAGGUGUUUUCAUUUGUGAUCAGCACUGAACACAGAAGACUCAUCAUGGAGUUUGGCCUGACCUGGGUUUUCCUUGUUGCUAUUUUAAAAGGUGUCCAGGGUGAGGUGCAGCUGGUGGAGUCUGGGGGCGGCUUGGCAAAGCCUGGGGGGUCCCUGAGACUCUCCUGUGCAGCCUCUGGAUUCACCUUCAGUAGCUACUGGAUGUACUGGGUUCGCCAGGCACCAGGGAAGGGGCUGGAGUGGGUCUCAGCUAUUAAUAGUGGUGGUGGUAGCACAUACUAUGCAGACUCCGUGAAGGGCAGAUUCACCAUCUCCAGAGAGAACGCCAAGAACACACUGUAUCUUCAAAUGGACAGCCUGAGAGCUGAGGACACGGCUGUGUAUUACUGUGCGAGAGACACAGUGAGGGGAAGUCAGUGUGAGCCCAGACACAAACCUCCCUGCAGGGACGCGGGGGGAAAAUCAGCGGCAGGGGGCGCUCGGGACCCACUGAUCAGAGUCAACCCGGAAGCCGGUGCACACGGAGGCUGAUUUCCUGUCAGGAUGUGGCACGUCGUCUUUUUACAGUUCCUCUAGUGAACCUCUCUGAGUUCAGAAUUAUCUGA